This 274-nucleotide ribosomal RNA is filed under the name uncultured bacterium. RNAcentral describes it as "partial 16S ribosomal RNA". It matches the Rfam family "Bacterial small subunit ribosomal RNA", at positions 523 to 796 of the family's 1533-position model. The record is from RNAcentral.
AUACGUAGGGUGCGAGCGUUAAUCGGAAUUACUGGGCGUAAAGCGUGCGCAGGCGGCUUUGCAAGACAGAGGUGAAAUCCCCGGGCUCAACCUGGGAACUGCCUUUGUGACUGCAAGGCUAGAGUACGGCAGAGGGGGAUGGAAUUCCGCGUGUAGCAGUGAAAUGCGUAGAUAUGCGGAGGAACACCAAUGGCGAAGGCAGUCCCCUGGGCCUGUACUGACGCUCAUGCACGAAAGCGUGGGGAGCAAACAGGAUUAGAUACCCUAGUAGUCC